AAGUGUUGCACGUGUACUGUUAAAAAUUAAUUUUUGUAUGGGGACAGGGAACCUGUUAAAACGUAUUGAUGCUCACACGGGAUCUUAUUGUUUGUUGGACUCAUGUGACUCAGCGUUCUGUAUUCAUUCACAAAGUGCAGAUACAUUUUCAGCGUUCUCCUCUCCAGGGCCUGAAACCGCCGAACUGCGGUUUCAUAAGAGUGAAAGAGUAACUUACGGUCAGCUUUAUAUGACAUUUUGAGUUGAAGUGGUCCUCAAGGCAUUACUUGAGUUGUUUUCACGAAUAAUUUUUCACAUUCUUUUUGCUCUUUUGUGAGUUUGAUACCAUUUGUUUCUGAAGGUAAUUCCUUUAAAGCCCAAAACUUUUGGACCACCGAAUUAAUUAACGUUAAGUCAUUUUCAGAUUGGCAUAAUGACACAACGCACCCUAAAAGGGUUUUCUGUAGCGUUGGUUAAUUAGGGCCACUUUUAAUUUCUGCACCCAAUAAGAUAUCAAUCUAUUUUGAUUUAUGGAAUUAUGGAUACACCAAUUUAAUAUUGUGUGGAAUUUUACAGCCAUUAGCAUUUCUGCUAAGGUCUGGAUGAUUAGCCGAAAGCAACGCAUUAUCCAGAAUUCCGCCGAAAGAAGCCGGGAGAAAUUACUAUUAUGUUUAACGUUUUGUGUUGGCGACGAAUCCGCAACUUAUGUGCCAAGUCCUCCGUCAUAAAAUUGACUUGGGAGCCUGAGUCCAGUAACGCUCUCGCAGACAGGAAUUCACCAUGACUGGUCCUCACUUGAAUAACAGCUGUCGCCAACAUUACUCGAUCCGGCAUACUCGCUGUGUACAUGGCAUGUGUGGUUGAUGGCUGCGGAUGAGAUGCAGUGGGAAAGGAAACUGGGUACUGAUGCAACAAUGUGUGAUGCGAUCGAUUGCAUACACGACAUCGAUCCGCUUUGCACUUGGAUACAGCAUGCUCCUUACAUAAGCAAUUUAUCCAUAAGGGCACCGAUUUCACAAACUCGAACCUCUGUUGUACGGGAAGCGCCUUGAAAGUGGGGCAGGCAGUUAAAGGAUGUUCCUUUGACUUGCAUUUUUGACAAGUUGGCUGCUUUGCUUCUGCAGCAACUAAAGCUGAUUUUGUCCUGUCCAUGUGUGGCUGCUUCAUGUGGCUCAUGCUGAUUGUGGCUCCGGAUUUCGUCCUCGAACAAGAUGCUCUUCCGCUGCUAACUGCUGAAACAUUUAUUUAAAGUUGCUUCGCAAUUCUUCCAUAAUGGUAAGUGAUCGUAGUCAAGUUGCUCUUCCCACUUGGAUCGGGUGGCAGAGUCAACCAUUGUCAUAAAUAUGCUGACCACCUGUACGUAAAUGACACGUAGCGAUGUACCGUGUACCGAAGCUUUAGCGAAAAUCACGAAAAUGUACGUAAAUUGAAACGGAGAAUAUUGAUGUACAUAAUUUGCGUUAAAACAACAAAUAAUUGCUAUACAAUUGUGUCCCACCCGUGACGAUGGAAUGAAUACCCCUAAUGCAAAUUAAAUAUAUUCACCAAGCUUUAACUAUGUUAAACUCGCCAUUAUGGCAACGCCGUUUGUGGAAUGCUUUUAUUGUAUUUGUUCGUGUUAAAGUGAAAUUACAUAUGUUAAAGCUCUUCUUAUUUACAUUUAUUCAUGUAUUUUCUACCAACAAUUUGUGGAACUUAUGCUGACAGGUGAUAUUGUGGAAGCGACGCUAUUGUGUGUGUACGUUGUAUUAUUUUUUUAAAAUGUCGCGAAAACGUGCAUAGUGGUCGCGGAGAUAUUGAUUCGCAUAUUAAAUCAAAAAAUCACCAAAAUGCAUUGCACGCUGCCACGUCCAGCCCCACACUCAAUAGAUAUUUAAAAAGUUCUACUUUGAAAGGAAUAGAUGCCCAUAUCGCGGCGUGUGAAGGCGUUUGGGCAUUUCAUGUCAUAAGUUCUAAUCACACUUUUCGCUCGGCCGAUUGCGCUUCCAAAAUCAUUCAAAGUUGUUUCGCAAUGUCCAAAUUUUCUUGUGCGCGAACGAAAUGCGAAGCAAUCGCAACCGAAGUUUUCGCACCGUUCGUAUUGCAAGAGCUCCAGAAAGACUUAAAUGACUGUCAUUUCUUCACUAUAUUGACGGACGCCUCUAAUCAUGGCAGCACAAAAAUGUUUCCGAUAUUAGUUUGCUUCUUUUCGGAAAAGGAUGGCGUCAAAGUGAAAAUUAUAGACUUGGUAGAUGCACAUGGAGAAAGUUCCGAAAUAAUUGUAAAUUUGCUGAAUAGCGCUAUGAACAAAUUGAACAUAAAUAAGAAACUAGUUGCGUUUUGUGGAGAUAACGCGGCGUGUAAUUUUGGCAACGGUAAUCGAACCGGCACAAAUAAUGUGUUCUACAAACUGAAGCAGCUUUAUCCUGGGUUGAUUGGCGUUGGAUGCGCAGCGGAUAUUGUUCACAAUACUUUAAAAAAAAAGCUUGCGACAAAAUGCCUUUUGAUGUGGAGAUGAUUGUAGUCAAAAUUUAUUCACAUUUCUAUUUGUUCACCGUGCGUGUCGCAAAAUUUAAAAAAUUUUGUGAAUCCGUGGAUGUGGAAUAUAAAAAACUGAUAGGUUACAGCAAAUCUCGUUUCUUAGGCUUGUUGUCAUCAGUCGUCUCAAUAUUAAGAAUUUUUGAUGGUCUUAAGGAAUAUUUUUUGGGAGAUGCCAACACCCCAAAUUCUUUUCUACUAUAUUUUGAAGAUCCAAGGGCCAAGAUGUGGCUGCUUUUCCUUCGUGAUCAAGCAUCUAUUUUCAACAGAACAGUUAAAGCAGUGGAAAGCGACAAUAUUAAUGCAAUGGAAGUUGGGCAUGCACCCAAUUCUUUUGUCCAGUCGCUCGAAUCUCGGAAAAAAGAAAUGCUUCUUCCGCUACAGUGCAAAAGGAAAUGGAAUAUAUUUCUGCUGUUGACGAAAGAGUGUCAAAAGAAGAGAUGCAAGAUCUCUCACUUCAAUUCUAUGAAUCAUGUAUAAAAUAUAUUGAAAAGUGGAAAGAACAAUUUGACCAUAUUAUGAUUUUUGCCUGGUGUCCACCGCAAUGGAAGUUUAUCGAAACCACCGCGAAGUACAUCGCAACCAAUAACCAUUUUGAUCUGGAAUCAUCCGAUACUGAUUUAUUCGAUCAGUUCACGUAUUUGGAAAGCUACGUAACCGAAGAGAAAAUCCAAUCGUGGGAAGAAAAUGGUACUGCCACCGAUCAACGCUGGGUUGAAAAUUUUCAACAUUUCGUCAAAAAGAAGGUUCCGUACAACCACAUGGUCAGAAUCAUAUCGUAUAUUCUCUCAUUGCCAGGCAAAUCAGCCACCGUUGAACGAGUAUUUUCUCUGAUCAAUCAAAUUUGGAACGAUGAAAAAUCAAAAAUAAAGAUCGAAAAAUUGCGAGAUCUUUUAUAUGUUCGAUACAACAUUAAAAUGACUUGUAAGGAAUUUUUUUAAUUUUUAAAAAUACAACCUAAAAUGUUGAAGGAAAUUGCAUCAAAUGAAAAAUACGCAUUCAAAAAUGCCAAUCAGAUCGACGAAAACAAUAAUAAUAAUAAUAAUUUGUACGUAAAAAACGAAUUGGAUAUCGAAAAAUAAACUGCUUUCUCCAUA
This 3593-nucleotide long non-coding RNA is filed under the name Bactrocera latifrons. RNAcentral describes it as "uncharacterized LOC108977217". The record is from RNAcentral. Lineage: Eukaryota; Metazoa; Arthropoda; Insecta; Diptera; Tephritidae.